UUCCUGGCUUGAGAACAUGCUUCUACAAAACAAACCAAGCAACCCUGAAAUGCAGAUUGGGUUAAGGAAGAUACAGACUGGGCCAAAAUCAUCUAGCAAGUUUCUAUGACUGAGGUUUAAGAAGUCCAACAUCAACUCAUUGCACCAAAU
Notechis scutatus (mainland tiger snake) is the source of this 150-nucleotide non-coding RNA. NCBI's taxonomy places the organism in Eukaryota, Metazoa, Chordata, Lepidosauria, Squamata, Elapidae. The record is from RefSeq and is a predicted model, not a curated record.